This is a long non-coding RNA of Callithrix jacchus (white-tufted-ear marmoset), 2320 nucleotides long. NCBI's taxonomy places the organism in Eukaryota, Metazoa, Chordata, Mammalia, Primates, Cebidae. The record is from Ensembl.
AUGAGGAUUGCACCAACUCCCGUCAAUACAUUGGAUGCAAAAAAAAAAAAAAAAAAAAAAAGGCAGAUAGGAGGCAGGACUAAAUCACAGCUCCCACUCAGAGCAGUGGGAGGAGACUCACACUGUGAACUCUUGCUCCAAGAACUACUGCAGGAAUAUACCAGGAAAGCUGAGCAAAUCCACAGACCCUUUGAAGGAAGUGGAUUGCUCCUGCAGGACCCAGAAGACAGCCCAAAUACUAUGGAGUUUCGCUGUUGUUACCCAGACUGGAGUGCAAUGGCACUAUCUCGGCUCACUGCAAACUCCACCUCCUGGGUUCAAGAGAUUCUCCUUCCUCAGCCUCCCGAGUAGCUGGGACUACAGGCGUGCACCACCAUGCCCAGCUAAUUGUUGUAUUUUCAGUAGAGACGGGGUUUCAUAUUGUUGACCAGGAUGGUCUCGAUCUCUUGACCUCGUGAUCCACCCGCCUCGGCCUCCCAAAGUGCUGGGAUUAUAGGCGUGAGCCACAGCGCCCGGCCUCUUGCUAAUUUCUAAACAUCAUCACACUAUGAAAUAAGGUGAAGAAAAAAAAAAACACCCUAUUCAAUUUAAUCAAUAACAAAAUGAUGAGUUCAUUUUCUUUUUUUUUUUUUUUAUUGCAUUUUAGGUUUUGGGGUACAUGGGCAGAGCAUGCAAUACAGUUGCAUAGGUACACACAUGGCAGUGUGUUUUGUUUGCUUUCUCCCCUUCACCCACAUUUGGUAUUUCUCCCCGGCAAUCCCUCCCCCCCUCCCCCUCCCACUGGCCCUCCCCUUUCCCCCCUAUAGACACCACUGUUUAGUACUCCCCUCUCUGUGUCCAUGUGUUCUCAUUUUUCAUCACCCGCCUAUGAGUGAGAAAAUGCGGUGUUUCAUUUUCUGUUCUUGUGUCAGUUUGCUGAGAAUGAUGUUCUCCAGAUUCAUCCAUGUCCCUACAAACGACACAAACUCAUCAUUUCUGAUUGCUGCAUAAUAUUCCAUCGUGUAUAUGUGCCACAUUUUCCCAAUCCAGUCUAUCAUCGAUGGGCAUUUGGGUUGAUUCCAGGUCUUUGCUAUUGUAAACAGUGCUGCAAUGAACAUUCGUGUACAUGUGUCCUUGUAGUAGAACGAUUUAUAGUCCUUUGGAUAUAUACCCAGUAAUGGGAUUGCUGGGUCAAAUGGGAUUUCUAUUUCUAAGGCCUUGAGGAAUCGCCACACCGUCUUCCACAAUGGUUGGACUAAUUUACACUCCCACCAACAGUGUAAAAGUGUUCCUUUUUCUCCACAUCCUCUCCAGCAUCUGUUGUCUCCAGAUUUUUUAAUGAUCGCCAUUCUAACUGGCGUGAGAUGGUAUCUCAAUGUGGUUUUGAUUUGCAUCUCUCUGAUGACCAGUGACGAUGAGCAUUUUUUCAUAUGAUUGUUGGCUUCAUAUAUGUCUUCUUUCGUAAAGUGUCUGUUCAUAUCCUUUGCCCACUUUUGAAUGGGCUUGUUUGUUUUUUUCCUGUAAAUCUGUUAGAGUUCUUUGUAAAUUGUGGAUAUCAGCCCUUUGUCAGAUGGGUAAACUGCAAACAUUUUUUCCCAUUCUGUUGGUUGCCGAUUCACACUAGAGACUGUUUCUUUUGCUGUGCAGAAGCUGUGGAGUUUCAUUAGGUCCCAUUUGUCUAUUUUGGCUUUUGUUGCCAAUGCUUUUGGUGUUUUGUUCAUGAAGUCCUUGCCUACUCCUAUGUCCUGGAUGGUUUUGCCUAGAUUUCCUUCUAGGGUUUUUAUGGUGCCGGGUCUUAUGUUUAAGUCUUUAAUCCAUCUGGAGUUAAUUUUGGUGUAAGGUGUCAGGAAGGGGUCCAGUUUCUGCUUUCUACACAUGGCUAGCCAGUUUUCCCAGCACCAUUUGUUGAACAGGGAAUCCUUUCCCCAUUGCUUGUUUUUGUCAGGUUUAUCAAAGAUUGUAUGGUUGUAGCUAUGUUGUGUUGCCUCUGAUGCCUCUGUUCUGUUCCAUUGGUCUAUAUCUCUGUUUUGGUACCACUACCAUGCUGUUUUGAUUACUGUAGCCUUAUAGUAUAGUUUGAAAUCCGGUAGUGUGAUGCCCCCCGCUGUGUUCUUUUUGCUUAGAAUUGACUUGGCUAUGCAGGCUCUCUUUUGGUUCCAUAUGAAGUUCAUGGUGGUUUUUUCCAGUUCUGUAAAGAAAGUCAAUGGUAGCUUGAUGGGGAUAGCGUUGAUUCUGUAAAUUACUUUGGGCAGUAUAGCCAUUUUCACAAUAUUAAUUCUUCCUAACCAUGAACAUGGAAUGUUUCUCCAUCUGUUUGUGUCCUCUCUGAUUUCGUUGAGCA